RNAcentral lists this transfer RNA (83 nucleotides) under Treponema sp. RNAcentral's name for it is "tRNA-Leu". It matches the Rfam family "tRNA". Rfam says of the family: Transfer RNA (tRNA) molecules are approximately 80 nucleotides in length. Lineage: Bacteria; Pseudomonadati; Spirochaetota; Spirochaetia; Treponematales; Treponemataceae. The record is from RNAcentral. RNAcentral also lists the same sequence under 1 other name.
GCCGGAAUGUUGGAAUGGUAGACAAAGCAGACUCAAAAUCUGCCGCGGGCAACCGUGUGAGAGUUCAAGUCUCUCUUCCGGUA